GUCCACGCCCUAAACUAUGUCAACUGGUUGUCGGGGGAUUAAUUCCCUUGGUAACGAAGCUAACGCGUGAAGUUGACCGCCUGGGGAGUACGGCCGCAAGGUUAAAACUCAAAGGAAUUGACGGGGACCCGCACAAGCGGUGGAUUAUGUGGAUUAAUUCGAUGCAACGCGAAAAACCUUACCUACCCUUGACAUGCUAGGAAGCUCGCAGAGAUGUGAGUGUGCCCGAAAGGGAACCUAGACACAGGUGCUGCAUGGCUGUCGU
RNAcentral lists this ribosomal RNA (265 nucleotides) under uncultured bacterium. RNAcentral's name for it is "partial 16S ribosomal RNA". It matches the Rfam family "Bacterial small subunit ribosomal RNA", at positions 793 to 1055 of the family's 1533-position model. The record is from RNAcentral.